AUGGCCACCAAGAUGCGCAAGCUGCCGAGCGCCGUUUUGCUGCUCCUCUUGGUCGCGAACCUGGGAUGGGCAUGGGCGCUGAUCCCUUCCUCCCCCGCAGGCCUCUCCGCCAGGCGCUACGACUCCAUCUUCAGCUUCGGCGACUCCUACGCCGAAACCGGCAACAACCCCGUCGUCUUCGCCGCCAACUCCGUCUUCAACCUUGUCACGCGCCCACCCUACGGCUCCACCUUCUUCGGCCGCCCCACCGGCCGCAACUCCGACGGCCGCCUCAUCAUCGACUUCAUCGCUCAGCGCCUCGGCCUGCCGCUCGUCCCGCCGUCCCUGGCGCACAACGGGAGCUUCCGCCAAGGCGCCAACUUCGCCGUCGGGGGCGCCACCGCUCUGGACGCCGCUUUCUUCCACGACGGGUCCGAUCCCGGCAACAAGUUCCCUCUCAACACCAGCUUGGGCGUCCAGCUGCAGUGGUUCGAGGCUCUCAAGCCUUCCCUCUGCCGCACGACCCAAGAGUGCGAGGCCUUCUUCGGCAGAUCCCUCUUCUUCGUGGGCGAAUUCGGGGUCAACGACUACCACUUCUCCUUCCCCACCAAGAGCCUGCAAGAGAUCACGGCGUUCGUUCCGGAAGUGAUCAGGGCCAUCUCAAUGGCAAUCGAGAGGCUGAUCAAGCACGGGGCCACGAGUUUCGUCGUUCCCGGGACAAUCCCGUCGGGAUGCACGCCGCACAUUCUCAGCUCCUUCGCCAAAGACGACCCCGCGGAAUACAACUCCACCACCGGCUGCCUGGAAGAUUACAACAAGCUAGGGAUGCACCACAACCUGCUGCUGCAGGAGGCCCUGGAGAAGCUUCGGGGCAGGCACCCGGACGCCAUGAUCGUCUACGCCGACCUCUUCGGCCCCAUCAUUGACAUGGUUGAGUCACCUCGCAAGUAUGGGUUUGAAGAUGUUCUUACCAACUGUUGCGGAGGGCCUGGGGCACUUAUCUGCGGCGACCAAGGUGCACAUGUAUGUGAGAAACCGGCUGCUCGUCUGUUCUGGGAUGUCGCGCACUUGACGGAGGCGGCUUACCGCUACAUCGCCGAUGGCUGGCUGGGCAGCAUAGACUCCCCUGCAACUGCAAGAGAGAGCAGGUAUCAGUUAGUGAGGUAG
This 1146-nucleotide ribosomal RNA is filed under the name Triticum aestivum (bread wheat). Its description in RNAcentral is "partial small subunit ribosomal RNA". Lineage: Eukaryota; Viridiplantae; Streptophyta; Magnoliopsida; Poales; Poaceae. The record is from RNAcentral.